This is a long non-coding RNA of Engraulis encrasicolus (European anchovy), 248 nucleotides long. RefSeq lists it as uncharacterized. The transcript is spliced from 3 exons. Lineage: Eukaryota; Metazoa; Chordata; Actinopteri; Clupeiformes; Engraulidae. The record is from RefSeq and is a predicted model, not a curated record.
GGAGCGCGAGAGCCUGCAGCGCACCUCAGAGAUGGACCGUACGCGUAUGGAGAAGCUGCUGGCGGAGAUGCAGCGUAGAGAGGAGGUGCUGCAGGAGGAGAGGAUGGAGAGGGAGAAGAUCCAGGUGGAGCUCGGACGAGAGAAGGACUGCAACCGGGUGCAGCUGAGUGAGAGCAGACGUGAGCUUCAAGAGUUGAAGGCCAGUCUCCGUGUAGCUCAGAAGGAGAAAGAACAACUGCAAAUGGAGA